AUAGGUUGAAAUUUAUAUUGAACACAAAACUUGUGAUACGCCAAGUAGAUAGACUAAAUUCUAAAUUGGACCCUAAACUUUAACCCUAAAAUUGAUUUGCAUCCUAAAUUUUAUUUUGAAUUAAAUGCACCUUAAAAUUUGAGUUUCAAUAUAAUUUGUGUCUUUUGUACUAAAAUAUAAGACCUAAGGGUGCAAAUUAUUUUGAAACUCAAAAUAAAUUUAGGGUACAAAUUGGAGAUUACUCUCAGGAUUACUGUACUAAAAAAGUAGGUAAAUUUAACAUUGCAUGGCAAUCAUGUACUACUCCCUCCGUUCCAUAAUAACUGUUUUUUUAGAAGAAAAAAAUUUAUUCUAAUUUAUUUGUCGUUUACAACUUUCUAGGAGAAUAAAUUAUUUAUUUUCCUAUAUCACCCCUACAUUCUCUCAUUGUCCCAAGAAAUUCUCUCCCUUGUAUUAAUAGUUUUCAACUUCC
RNAcentral lists this long non-coding RNA (472 nucleotides) under Panax ginseng (ginseng). RNAcentral's name for it is "long non-coding RNA (PGIN_LNC006444)". Lineage: Eukaryota; Viridiplantae; Streptophyta; Magnoliopsida; Apiales; Araliaceae. The record is from RNAcentral.